RNAcentral lists this ribosomal RNA (599 nucleotides) under Apilactobacillus micheneri. Its description in RNAcentral is "bacterial SSU rRNA". The record is from RNAcentral. Lineage: Bacteria; Bacillati; Bacillota; Bacilli; Lactobacillales; Lactobacillaceae.
UAAGAUGAGAGUUUGAUCCUGGCUCAGGACGAACGCUGGCGGCGUGCCUAAUACAUGCAAGUCGAACGAGUCCUCCCAAUUUGAUUUUAUGCUUGCAUAAAUGAUUUUUGGAUUCGGGACGAGUGGCGAACUGGUGAGUAACACGUGGGUAACCUGCCCURAAGYAGGGGAUAACAUUUGGAAACAGAUGCUAAUACCGUAUAAUUAGUUGGAACCACAUGGUUCCAACUUGAAAGAUGGCUCUGCUAUCACUUUAGGAUGGACCCGCGGCGUAUUAGCUAGUUGGUGAGAUAAAAGCUCACCAAGGCGAUGAUACGUAGCCGACCUGAGAGGGUAAUCGGCCACAUUGGGACUGAGACACGGCCCAGACUCCUACGGGAGGCAGCAGUAGGGAAUCUUCCACAAUGGACGAAAGUCUGAUGGAGCAACGCCGCGUGAGUGAAGAAGGGUUUCGGCUCGUAAAACUCUGUUGUUAAAGAAGAACAAGUGUAAGAGUAACUGUUUACGCUUUGACGGUAUUUAACCAGAAAGCCACGGCUAACUACGUGCCAGCAGCCGCGGUAAUACGUAGGUGGCAAGCGUUGUCCGGAUUUAUUGGG